This 397-nucleotide ribosomal RNA is filed under the name uncultured bacterium. RNAcentral's name for it is "partial 16S ribosomal RNA". It matches the Rfam family "Bacterial small subunit ribosomal RNA", at positions 523 to 918 of the family's 1533-position model. The record is from RNAcentral.
AUACGUAGGUGACAAGCGUUAUCCGGAUUUACUGGGCGUAAAGGGCGUGUAGGCGGUCUUGCAAGUCAGAAGUGAAAUUCCUGAGCUCAACUCGGGCGCUGCUUCUGAAACUGCAGGACUUGAGUGCUGGAGGGGAUAGCGGAAUUCCUAGUGGAGCGGUAAAAUGCGCAGAUAUUAGGAAGAACACCGGUGGCGAAGGCGGCUAUCUGGACAGUAACUGACGCUGAGGCGCGAAAGCGUGGGGAGCAAACAGGAUUAGAUACCCUGGUAGUCCACACCAUAAACGAUGAAUACUAGGUGUAGGGGGUAUCGACCCCCUCUGUGCCGACGUUAACACAUUAAGUAUUCCACCUGGGGAGUACGGCCGCAAGGCUGAAACUCAAAGGAAUUGACGGGG